GAUGAACGCUGGCGGCGUGCUUAACACAUGCAAGUCGAACGGAAAGGCCAGUGCUUGCACUGGUACUCGAGUGGCGAACGGGUGAGUAACACGUGGGUGAUCUGCCCUGUACUUUGGGAUAAGCUUGGGAAACUGGGUCUAAUACCGGAUAGGACAACUUUUUGGAUAUUGUUGUGGAAAGCUUUUGCGGUAUGGGAUGAGCUCGCGGCCUAUCAGCUUGUUGGUGGGGUAAUGGCCUACCAAGGCGUCGACGGGUAGCCGGCCUGAGAGGGUGUACGGCCACAUUGGGACUGAGAUACGGCUCAGACUCCUACGGGAGGCAGCAGUGGGGAAUAUUGCACAAUGGGCGCAAGCCUGAUGCAGCGACGCCGCGUGGGGGAUGAAGGCCUUCGGGUUGUAAACUCCUUUCGCUAGGGACGAAGCGCAAGUGACGGUACCUGGAGAAGAAGCACCGGCUAACUACGUG
RNAcentral lists this ribosomal RNA (466 nucleotides) under uncultured bacterium. RNAcentral describes it as "partial 16S ribosomal RNA". It matches the Rfam family "Bacterial small subunit ribosomal RNA", at positions 28 to 507 of the family's 1533-position model. The record is from RNAcentral.